AAUGAACGCUGGCGGCAUGCCUAACACAUGCAAGUCGAACGAGAUCGUGACUUCGGUUGCGGUCUAGUGGCGCACGGGUGCGUAACGCGUGGGAAUCUGCCCUUGGGUUCGGAAUAACAGUGAGAAAUUGCUGCUAAUACCGGAUAAUGACGUAAGUCCAAAGAUUUAUCGCCCAGGGAUGAGCCCGCGUAAGAUUAGCUAGUUGGUGGGGUAAAGGCCUACCAAGGCGACGAUCUUUAGCUGGUCUGAGAGGAUGAUCAGCCACACUGGGACUGAGACACGGCCCAGACUCCUACGGGAGGCAGCAGUGGGGAAUAUUGGACAAUGGCGUAAGCCUGAUCCAGCCAUGCCGCGUGC
This 357-nucleotide ribosomal RNA is filed under the name uncultured bacterium. RNAcentral's name for it is "bacterial SSU rRNA". It matches the Rfam family "Bacterial small subunit ribosomal RNA", at positions 29 to 404 of the family's 1533-position model. The record is from RNAcentral.